ACUCGAGUCUUUGACGCAAGUUGCGCCCGAAGCCAUUAGGUUGAGGGCACGCCUGCCUGGGUGUCACACAUCGUCAUCCCCAUGCAAAUGUGCAUUGCGGUGGAAGUUGGCUUCCUGCGAGGCAUUCCUCGUGGUUGGUUCAAAACUAAGUUAACAGCGAAGUCCCUCGCGAUGAAUGGUGGAUGAGUAUUUUUCUCGAGACCAAUUGUGGUUGUGGUACUUCGAUGGAUCUAAAUGGUUGACCCAAGAUUUUCUUUUUGAGACCUCAGGUCAGGCGGGGCUACCCGCUGAGUUUAAGCAUAUCAAUAAGCGGAGGAAAAGAAACUAACAAGGAUUCCCUUAGUAACGGCGAGCGAACCGGGAACAGCCCACCAUGAGAAUCGAUCGCCUUUGGCGUUUGAAUUGUAGUUAG
Molecule: ribosomal RNA, 412 nt
Filed under: Vigna reticulata
Lineage: Eukaryota; Viridiplantae; Streptophyta; Magnoliopsida; Fabales; Fabaceae
Description: eukaryotic LSU rRNA
Rfam family: Eukaryotic large subunit ribosomal RNA (bases 261-412)
Source: RNAcentral